AGUGAACGCUGGCGGUAGGCCUAACACAUGCAAGUCGAACGGCAGCACAGAGGAGCUUGCUCCUUGGGUGGCGAGUGGCGGACGGGUGAGGAAUACAUCGGAAUCUACUCUGUCGUGGGGGAUAACGUAGGGAAACUUACGCUAAUACCGCAUACGACCUACGGGUGAAAGCUGGGGAUCUUCGGACCUCGCGCGAUUGAAUGAGCCGAUGUCGGAUUAGCUAGUUGGCGGGGUAAAGGCCCACCAAGGCGACGAUCCGUAGCUGGUCUGAGAGGAUGAUCAGCCACACUGGAACUGAGACACGGUCCAGACUCCUACGGGAGGCAGCAGUGGGGAAUAUUGGACAAUGGGCGCAAGCCUGAUCCAGCCAUACCGCGUGGGUGAAGAAGGCCUUCGGGUUGUAAAGCCCUUUUGUUGGGAAAGAAAUCCAUCUGGUUAAUACCCGGGUGGGAUGACGGUACCCAAAGAAUAAGCACCGGCUAACUUCGUGCCAGCAGCCGCCGUAA
Molecule: ribosomal RNA, 506 nt
Filed under: uncultured bacterium
Lineage: Bacteria
Description: partial 16S ribosomal RNA
Rfam family: Bacterial small subunit ribosomal RNA
Source: RNAcentral